CCUACGGGAGGCAGCAGUGAGGAAUAUUGGUCAAUGGACGAGAGUCUGAACCAGCCAAGUAGCGUGAAGGAUGACUGCCCUAUGGGUUGUAAACUUCUUUUAUAUGGGAAUAAAAUGUUCCACGUGUGGGAUUUUGUAUGUACCAUAUGAAUAAGGAUCGGCUAACUCCGUGCCAGCAGCCGCGGUAAUACGGAGGAUCCGAGCGUUAUCCGGAUUUAUUGGGUUUAAAGGGAGCGUAGGUGGAUUGUUAAGUCAGUUGUGAAAGUUUGCGGCUCAACCGUAAAAUUGCAGUUGAUACUGGCAGUCUUGAGUACCGUAGAGGUGGGCGGAAGUCGUGGUGUAGCGGUGAAAUGCUUAGAUAUCACGAAGAACUCCGAUUGCGAAGGCAGUUCACUGGACUGCAACUGACACUGAGGCUCGAAAGUGUGGGUAUCAAACAGGAUUAGAUACCCCUGUAGUC
Molecule: ribosomal RNA, 460 nt
Filed under: uncultured bacterium
Lineage: Bacteria
Description: partial 16S ribosomal RNA
Rfam family: Bacterial small subunit ribosomal RNA
Source: RNAcentral